Molecule: ribosomal RNA, 425 nt
Filed under: uncultured bacterium
Lineage: Bacteria
Description: bacterial SSU rRNA
Rfam family: Bacterial small subunit ribosomal RNA
Source: RNAcentral
GAAUAUUGGACAAUGGGCGCAAGCCUGAUCCAGCCAUGCCGCGUGUGUGAAGAAGGCCUUCGGGUUGUAAAGCACUUUAAGUUGGGAGGAAGGUUUCUUGGUUAAUACCCAAGAGAAUCGACGUUACCAACAGACACAGCACCGGCUAAUUCCGUGCCAGCAGCCGCGGUAAUACGUAAGGUGCGAGCGUUAAUCGGAAUUACUGGGCGUACAGCGCACGUAGGUGGCUUCUUAAGUCGGAUGUGAAAGCCCUGGGCUUAACCUGGGAAUUGCAUCCGAUACUGGGUGGCUAGAGUACGGUAGAGGGAGGUGGAAUUCCAGGUGUAGCGGUGAAAUGCGUAGAGAUCUGGAGGAACACCGGUGGCGAAGGCGGCCUCCUGGACUGAUACUGACACUGAGGUGCGAAAGAGUGGGGAGCAAACAGG